GAGGGUAUAGCUCAGUGGUAGAGUAUGUGCCUAGCAUGCAUGAGGUCCUGGGUUCAAUCCCCAGUACCUCCA
This 72-nucleotide transfer RNA is filed under the name Camelus bactrianus (Bactrian camel). It matches the Rfam family "tRNA". From Rfam's summary of the family: Transfer RNA (tRNA) molecules are approximately 80 nucleotides in length. Their secondary structure includes four short double-helical elements and three loops (D, anti-codon, and T loops). RNAcentral also lists the same sequence under 1 other name. The record is from Rfam by way of RNAcentral. Lineage: Eukaryota; Metazoa; Chordata; Mammalia; Artiodactyla; Camelidae.